CGUGCGACGCUUUGAUGGUGACAUGCUUAAAGCUUUGUGUUGCCUUGUUCCUAUGGUGCUUGCGGUUUGUCGGGUCACUGUCAUCAUGGUGAUGUCACGAACAAAGAAACUGCAGGAAUCUUCCUGCUUUAGUUUGAAAUUGCACAUAUUUCUCCACUCCCCAGAUGAAAAAGCUAACGUGUGUGUUUUGUGACCACUAGAUGUCAUCAUGGCGCACGAAAAAAGCCGCAGAUGAGGCCUUAGCUGUCCUCACCUUACAUGGAUGACAUCACCAAUCCUGCAGUGGAACCACAUCAAUCCAUCCAUCAUCCAUUUGUCCUUGCAUCUAAGCUUCAGAAGUCAAUAGUAAGGGAAGGAUCACGGGACGCAAUCGAAAUUGACGAGGAGCCAACGUCGCCCCCGACGCCCCCGUUCUACUAGCUUGGUGAGUUCCAAUUUUUUCCCAACUACUUAGAAUCGCGUCUGCAUGAGGAAAACCUUUUGUCGCGGUGUAACGAAUAAUGGAUUCAUUCUACAAAUCGUCAAUCAUCAAAUGAAUCCUGAAUUAUUUUGAAAAAUUGAUUUAUUAUGUAGACCUUGUUCAAUUCAAAAUGAACAUAUUUUAUAUCAAAUGUGUGUGUAUGUAUACAUAUAUAAAAAUUCAUCAUUCUGAGGCAUUAUUUGCCAACAGUUUGACCUCAGGAGGCUUUUCACAGCCUCUUCGUUAGAAUGUUUCAAGUUACGAAACUUAACAGGAAAAUAUUGCCUCGUUACCAAAAACAUUUCAAAAUACGAAAGGAAAAAAUAAAGUAUGCUGCUACUCGCAAGUCCGGGGUUCCUGAACGCAACAUACUCAUAGCUGCUUUGCCAUUGGCUAUUACCGAGCAUCAUCCUGACAUCACAUUGGCUAAGAGGGACCUUUUCCAAAUGUGUUUAUGCGUGUAGAUACAUAUGUGUGUUUGUGCAGCGUCCUCAUCAUUCACCAAUUCGUCAGUUUUUAUGCUUGAUAAAACAUUCGUCUGAAUUUUGGGGGGCUUGGAACGGAUUAGGGCAUUUACAUAGAAAACGCGUCUCAACUUCCAAAAUGUUCAAGUUCAGAAAUUUCUUGCAGAACCAAUUCAUUUCAUAAGUAGAGGUACCACUGUGUACUCACGUGAUGUCCAUUCGUCUUCCUGUUUGUGUUGCCGUUGUCGACAAACGGACUUUGAAUCCACAGCAACUAAUAACAUUGACAAAUCGGCUCACGAUCUCAUCAUCAAAUUUCCAUAGAUGGGGGAGUGGUGUGAAAGUCAGUUUAGGACAUGGAGGAUUGGAUUUAGCGUGCUUGUGCUAAUGUGUUGGAUACUUGUGGGCAGCUGGUGUUUUGUGUUUACAUCUUUGAGGAGCCGACGAUUCAAGGACACUUGCUUCACAGCUGAACUCGUUCCUUUUUUCUGGGAUAGGGGGGACAUUAAAAGCAACGUUUUUUUUAAUAGGUUGACAAACAAUAUUUAUUUAGGUUCACAAAAAUGAUAAGUUAAUUAUCAGGUAGUCCACAAAUAUUGUGGGAAUGGUCUCAUACAGUCAUACAAAGUGGGGGAAGUGGACGUACAUGACAAACCAUUUCUGAACAGGCCAACCCAGAAAAACACUCGAGAUUUAAACCAAAUAAAGUUAUGAAGCAUGGCCAAGAUGAACCGAACAGACACUUUGAUCAAAAAUAAUACCAAGGAGUAGGAGAAUAUUUUUUCAUUCGAUCCAUCAUAGCCCGAAUCUUGAACUUAAAAAAACUACCAGAUAGAUAAAAUAUUGUUUAUCUUAAAAAAAAAAAACUAAAAAUAACAAAACCAGGGCCCCAGACCCUGCAUGUAAUAUAUUGCCAUAAAUCAGGGUCACCCCUGAGCUGUCCCUUGUGCAAACCCACCCCCCACCCUCUCCUCCCCCUUAGGUCAUCGGCGGGCCGGCAACUGAUUCCACAUGUCCAUGUUGUAAAAUUCGCAUCUUGUCUUUUUGGAGUCUGGAAUUUCAAAUUAGCAUUAGGGCCACACAAAAAAAGAAAAUACGUUGUAAAAUGAUGAGAACACCAGGAAGAAAAUUAAGAAAAUGUCAUCACAGUUUGACCAAAUCAUUUUUGUCUUAUGAGAGACUUGAAAGACAACAGCCAUUUUUGGGGGGCGAGAACCGUUCUUAACCUUGCGCAAGAUUGAAUGUUGUAUUUUGAAAAAAAUUAA
Hippocampus zosterae (dwarf seahorse) is the source of this 2189-nucleotide long non-coding RNA. RefSeq lists it as uncharacterized. NCBI's taxonomy places the organism in Eukaryota, Metazoa, Chordata, Actinopteri, Syngnathiformes, Syngnathidae. The record is from RefSeq and is a predicted model, not a curated record. The transcript is spliced from 2 exons.